AAGGUAAGUGAUAUCACUGAUGGAAAAAACAGAUGCCUCUACUAGCACCUAUUAAAUUUCUCAAGACUCGUGAAGACAAUAUGAAGAUAACCUCGUUAUAAGAUCAACCAUGCAUUCCCAUGUUUCAUCCGCUAUGUUUAUAUCAUAUACCAACGCACGUCCGACCCUAUAUUAACCAGUAAACUGUUACAAGCUUAUAGAGAAUUCAAUUAUCAUAGUGUAUAUCCUUCUAUACCACAAGUGACGGAAUUUAAACUGGUUAAUUCAAUAUUUUAUCAAGAACUACACCAUAUAUAGCGAGAGUUGAUUAACUAGACAAGUCUCUAAGCACUUUACUUAGCAAAUGACCAAACCCAAGAUCUAGAAUACCCAACCCAUCCUACCUAGACUUCAAUGUCAACCUGUUCACUCUCUAGCUAGCCAACCGGCUCAACUAUAGUUGCCUAGCUAAUCAGCACACUUACAAUCCAUUAUAGGGUAAUUGCAAUGCUCCUGCACCAAAACUAUCAAAAGCGCU
Molecule: long non-coding RNA, 517 nt
Filed under: Brassica napus (rape)
Lineage: Eukaryota; Viridiplantae; Streptophyta; Magnoliopsida; Brassicales; Brassicaceae
Description: long non-coding RNA (BNAP_LNC010512)
Source: RNAcentral